AUGCUGACGAAAUGGUCUCUAUUGACCCGUCUUGUAACACGGACCAAGGAGUCUAACAUCUAUGCGAGUAGGUGGGUGGCAAACCCAGCUGCGUAAUGAAAGUAAAAGGUAGGAACUGGGCAACCACGGCACUACCGACCGAUCAUCACUUGUGAAAGAUUUGAGUAAGAGCAUAACUGUUGGGACCCGAAAGAUGGUGAUCUAUGCCUGAACAGGGUGAAGCCAGGGGAAACUCUGGUGAAGGCUCGUAGCGAUACUGACGUGCAAAUCGUUCGUCUGAUUUGGGUAUAGGGGCGAAAGACUAAUCGAACUAUCUAGUAGCUGGUUCCCUCCGAAGUUUCCCUCAGGAUAGCUGGAGUUGAACAGUUUUAUCAGGUAAAG
Molecule: ribosomal RNA, 381 nt
Filed under: Durinskia baltica
Lineage: Eukaryota; Dinophyceae; Peridiniales; Kryptoperidiniaceae
Description: partial Eukaryotic large subunit ribosomal RNA
Rfam family: Eukaryotic large subunit ribosomal RNA
Source: RNAcentral